Molecule: long non-coding RNA, 581 nt
Organism: Mauremys mutica (yellowpond turtle)
Lineage: Eukaryota; Metazoa; Chordata; Testudines; Geoemydidae
Exons: 4
Source: RefSeq, a predicted model, not a curated record
GCCCGAGAAGGUUGAGGGGAGGUAAAAGGGGGAAGGAAUCCUCUGCACUCAGGGAGCAGAGCUUCUUGGUGACUGCUUACUGCAAGGGAGAACCCACAGAGUUCAGAUCUGUUCCACACAAACCUAUUCUUGGGUGCUUCAUAUCCGGACCCUUCCCACCUUCAACGUGCAGCAGAAUCACAUAAUUAGAGGAAUGCAGCGGCAGCAGAACUAAAGUAGAAGAAAGGCCAGGAUUUGGCCUGCACUGCAGAAGUAGCUGAAGCCUUACAGAGCAAGAGAGCCAGUUUACAUGGCUUGUCUACAUUACCUGCUGGAUCGACGGGCAGCAAUUGAUCCAUCACGUCUAGAAUAGAUGUGAUAAAUUGACCACCGAGCACUCUCCCCUCGACUUCGGUACUCCACCAGGACGAGAGGCGCAGACGAAGUUGCCAGGAGAGUGUCAGCCAUCGAUUUACCGCAGUGAAGACACCCAUGGAAAGGUCAUGGAGUUGUGCAAAGUCAACCAGGCAACCACACUGUAGAGGGGCCCACAGAAAGUAACUUGCAGAGGUAGGUCGCUGGCUGGAACUGAGCCAUCACGU